GACGAACGCUGGCGGCGUGCUUAACACAUGCAAGUCGAACGAUGAACCACUUCGGUGGGGAUUAGUGGCGAACGGGUGAGUAACACGUGGGCAAUCUGCCCUUCACUCUGGGACAAGCCCUGGAAACGGGGUCUAAUACCGGAUAACACUCCUGCUCUCAUGGGCAGGGGUUAAAAGCUCCGGCGGUGAAGGAUGAGCCCGCGGCCUAUCAGCUUGUUGGUGAGGUAAUGGCUCACCAAGGCGACGACGGGUAGCCGGCCUGAGAGGGCGACCGGCCACACUGGGACUGAGACACGGCCCAGACUCCUACGGGAGGCAGCAGUGGGGAAUAUUGCACAAUGGGCGAAAGCCUGAUGCAGCGACGCCGCGUGAGGGAUGACGGCCUUCGGGUUGUAAACCUCUUUCAGCAGGGAAGAAGCGAAAGUGACGGUACCUGCAGAAGAAGCGCCGGCUAACUACGUGCCAGCAGCCGCGGUAAUACGUAGGGCGCAAGCGUUGUCCGGAAUUAUUGGGCGUAAAGAGCUCGUAGGCGGCUUGUCACGUCGGGUGGUGAAAGCCCGGGGCUUAACCCCGGGUCUGCAUUCGAUACGGGCUAGCUAGAGUGUGGU
This 608-nucleotide ribosomal RNA is filed under the name Streptomyces sp. SA3T. Its description in RNAcentral is "bacterial SSU rRNA". It matches the Rfam family "Bacterial small subunit ribosomal RNA", at positions 28 to 652 of the family's 1533-position model. The record is from RNAcentral. Lineage: Bacteria; Bacillati; Actinomycetota; Actinomycetes; Kitasatosporales; Streptomycetaceae.